GAGUUUGAUCCUGGCUCAGGACGAACGCUGGCGGCGUGCCUAAUACAUGCAAGUCGAACGAACUCUGGUAUUGAUUGGUGCUUGCAUCAUGAUUUACAUUUGAGUGAGUGGCGAACUGGUGAGUAACACGUGGGAAACCUGCCCAGAAGCGGGGGAUAACACCUGGAAACAGAUGCUAAUACCGCAUAACAACUUGGACCGCAUGGUCCGAGUUUGAAAGAUGGCUUCGGCUAUCACUUUUGGAUGGUCCCGCGGCGUAUUAGCUAGAUGGUGGGGUAACGGCUCACCAUGGCAAUGAUACGUAGCCGACCUGAGAGGGUAAUCGGCCACAUUGGGACUGAGACACGGCCCAAACUCCUACGGGAGGCAGCAGUAGGGAAUCUUCCACAAUGGACGAAAGUCUGAUGGAGCAACGCCGCGUGAGUGAAGAAGGGUUUCGGCUCGUAAAACUCUGUUGUUAAAGAAGAACAUAUCUGAGAGUAACUGUUCAGGUAUUGACGGUAUUUAACCAGAAAGCCACGGCUAACUACGUGCCAGCAGCCGCGGUAAUACGUAGGUGGCAAGCGUUGUCCGGAUUUAUUGGGCGUAAAGCGAGCGCAGGCGGUUUUUUAAGUCUGAUGUGAAAGCCUUCGGCUCAACCGAAGAAGUGCAUCGGAAACUGGGAAACUUGAGUGCAGAAGAGGACAGUGGAACUCCAUGUGUAGCGGUGAAAUGCGUAGAUAUAUGGAAGAACACCAGUGGCGAAGGCGGCUGUCUGGUCUGUAACUGACGCUGAGGCUCGAAAGUAUGGGUAGCAAACAGGAUUAGAUACCCUGGUAGUCCAUACCGUAAACGAUGAAUGCUAAGUGUUGGAGGGUUUCCGCCCUUCAGUGCUGCAGCUAACGCAUUAAGCAUUCCGCCUGGGGAGUACGGCCGCAAGGCUGAAACUCAAAGGAAUUGACGGGGGCCCGCACAAGCGGUGGAGCAUGUGGUUUAAUUCGAAGCUACGCGAAGAACCUUACCAGGUCUUGACAUACUAUGCAAAUCUAAGAGAUUAGACGUUCCCUUCGGGGACAUGGAUACAGGUGGUGCAUGGUUGUCGUCAGCUCGUGUCGUGAGAUGUUGGGUUAAGUCCCGCAACGAGCGCAACCCUUAUUAUCAGUUGCCAGCAUUAAGUUGGGCACUCUGGUGAGACUGCCGGUGACAAACCGGAGGAAGGUGGGGAUGACGUCAAAUCAUCAUGCCCCUUAUGACCUGGGCUACACACGUGCUACAAUGGAUGGUACAACGAGUUGCGAACUCGCGAGAGUAAGCUAAUCUCUUAAAGCCAUUCUCAGUUCGGAUUGUAGGCUGCAACUCGCCUACAUGAAGUCGGAAUCGCUAGUAAUCGCGGAUCAGCAUGCCGCGGUGAAUACGUUCCCGGGCCUUGUACACACCGCCCGUCACACCAUGAGAGUUUGUAACACCCAAAGUCGGUGGGGUAACCUUUUAGGAACCAGCCGCCUAAGGUGGGACAGAUGAUUAGGGUGAAGUCGUAACAAGGUAACC
RNAcentral lists this ribosomal RNA (1527 nucleotides) under Lactiplantibacillus plantarum. RNAcentral describes it as "Lactobacillus plantarum partial 16S ribosomal RNA". It matches the Rfam family "Bacterial small subunit ribosomal RNA". Lineage: Bacteria; Bacillati; Bacillota; Bacilli; Lactobacillales; Lactobacillaceae. The record is from RNAcentral.